GGAUAAUAAAAUUGUGAAUUGCGGCCUUGAAAUCAAGUCAUUGAUAACAUAACAUAAUACAUGUAAUGAUUAUAAAUAGUGUACAAUCAACAUUAUUAAUUGGAAUCAAAUAAAACUGCCAAUGGGCUGCACUUAAAAAUCACAAAUACACAGGCUAGUGAUCAUCCAUUUCUCCUUCAUGCGCAUGGAUUUGGGUGUUCUUAUGAAAUUGAAAGUGAUGGGAACCGAGGACGAUAUUUGCAGGAGAUCUACUGAUGCAUGGCGGUUUCUAGUGCAAGCAUCACCAACUUGGGGCCUAUUCGGUUGCACUCACUCUUGGCUCCGCCGCUGCAACCUCAAGCUCGUCCUAACUGUGAUGAUUUCUUCCACUUGCGAUCAUUAUUCCGAGUCAAUUUCUGAGUCCCGCGUCAACUGUCUGACCCAAACCAGCAUGUUAAACACACGCCAAUAGCAAGCAAAGUCAAUGGUGCAGUCUAGCUCUUUGCUUAACCAGUUCACAAUUUUGGUUCAUUUGUAGUGGUAGCCUCAAGGCUUUGGCAUUUGCUAAUGAUUUGAUUGAAGAAAUCCUGCAAUUCUGACAGAUUAUUUUUCCUGUCAAAGCUAAUGAUCUAGUAAAGCAUAUUGUCAACAUUUUUGUUGAAGCAAGAUUUGUAUUUUACUAAUUUUCCUUCCUUUUCUUGCAUGUUCAGACCCCAACCGGCCUAAGUGCAACAUUGACCUUCAGUGCUGAAUGACCAUGUGCAGGCCUAUAGUCUUUAGUACAGAACUUCAAGACACAUAUUUCUCAACGGACCAGGAGAAGCAGGGAGGAAAAAUGCUGAAAAUAUGAAGCAGUCGAUGUAGCUCAGAGUUGCUACAGAAAAGAGCCCGAUUUAUGACCAUCUCGGCUGUACAGAAAAAAGAGUAAGCAUCAAACGGUGGAGUGGGUAGGGGAUUUCAAUCAAAAGGGGAAAACAUUUAGCAUAAAAUAGCGUGGGAAACAAGUCGUAGUUAGUUAAAUAUGCUCUACAGUGACAAUCAAAAUUGAUGUAGCCUUAGCAAAUGAAAGGGAAACUGAAUUGAAGUGCAUUAAAAUAAUGUUCAAUUGAAUUAACAUCCUAACAUAGCAGACAAAUAAUAAAGAAUGGAUAGCUAAGCAUAAGGCCAUAACUUGAAUUUGUUGAAUUGGAGAAACAACAAAGAUGGAGAACAAUAUUAAUGAAGACUAAUGAUUUUUCAGUAAAGAAAAUGAAGGAUUGGCAUUUAUGCUUUGUAUAGUGUACCAAUAGUAGGUCAAUUCCUUCGGAUUCCAGCAUUCAGACUGUGGCAUCACUCUUUGCUCUUUCCACUGACAAAACUCAUGUCAGUGUCGUCAGUCCUUUAUUUCCACUAUGAAGUUUGCAUACUCUACACUGGGCAUGAGGAAAUAUUUAAAUUUCCGUAUGUAUCUGCAAGAAGGCAAAUCAGAGGUUCAGUCCACUCCAGUAAAAUCUGAUGCUUCUAAAAUGAAAGCACAGUUGAGGUGAUCCAAUGUUGAAAUUGGCUAUCAACGUGGCUUUAUGAAACAAGCAAUUUCCAUUAUUCAGACUUCAAGCAUAUGGCGAAUCAUGAAGUUGUUGAUGUCCACUUCGUUUUAAAUUUUUUGAGCAUGAUGUACCCAUUAUAUCACUUGUUUUAUAUGUUCUGAGCACAGUCCACCUGCAGUACAGGCCUAUACUUUGAGGCGGCUUUGAAGUUUCUGCAUAUUGCGUCUCUAUUGGAAACUCACAAAUGUCUCUUUUUGUAUAUUCAAUUUCUGUAUAUGCUUCCCCAAAUAAAAUGAUUGUAUGCUGGGGUGAACUGAGUGCACAUUAUGAUUCUUUGCAUGAUGCUAGAAAAUACUGUUUUGUAACAGGACAGCUGAUCACAUAUGCUUCAGUCGCAAAAUUCAUAUGUUCCUUUUGAGUUCCAAGGGGCAAAUUAGCAACAGUAGUAAAGUAGUAGCAGCAACAGCACGCAUCAAAAAGCAGGGAAGCAGGAGCAUCACGCGGCAAACACCAGGGAAGUAAAAACAUCACGCACCAAGAGGGUGUCUACCUUGUCCGUGACCGUAGGGGAGGCGUGCGUUCCGCGGAAGCGAGAGCAUCUUCCGCCGUGCGCACAUGCUUUGCUGGUUUACGUUAUGACGGCAGGAGGAACCACCGGCAGGACACGUUCACCGGCGUGAGAUGUUGGCGAAGACGCCCACGGUAGCACGACGACGGGGAGCUCGAGGAGAAUGACUGGAUCUGGCGCCGCCCACCAUCAGAAGGAACCAGCCUUAGUCGAGG
This 2288-nucleotide long non-coding RNA is filed under the name Triticum aestivum (bread wheat). RNAcentral describes it as "long non-coding RNA (TAES_LNC007071)". The record is from RNAcentral. Lineage: Eukaryota; Viridiplantae; Streptophyta; Magnoliopsida; Poales; Poaceae.